UACUUGUCAUAAAUUGAUGCUAAUCUUCCCAUAGUACAGAGGAAGACAAGUAAAUUUUAUAUGUAAGUGUUAUCAUUUUCAUUCAUAUUAAGAGUAGAUUGAAUAGGCAAGUGGACUUCACAUGUAAUCACUGUUCACCUGAAAGCCUAUACAGUACUAUUUGAAGAACAGAGUUUCUAAUCAUUUUCCUGCUGCAUGGAAACAUUUGCUACUGUUGGACAUAUUACCUCUAAUAGCAGACCCUAUUCUACUGCCUCAGCUCCACUGGAGUCUCACUGAGCCUACUCUGGCUUUGGAGGUGCCAAGUCACCAAGAGAGAUUCUCAGAGGCCCAUUGCAUCUAUUUCUCUCUUGCAUCAACUGGGCAUCAUGAUUAUCAAGUCUGCCGUGAUGUCUAUCUACAUUUGGGCAAGAAUACAAAUGAAGGUUCACCUGAAAGUUAUGAAGGAGGCUAAGAAAUUGUUACAUAAUACGUAAUAUAAUUUUCUACCAUGUAAAAUAUAACUCUAUAAAAACAG
Molecule: long non-coding RNA, 517 nt
Filed under: Homo sapiens (human)
Lineage: Eukaryota; Metazoa; Chordata; Mammalia; Primates; Hominidae
Description: HSALNT0369186
Source: RNAcentral